RNAcentral lists this ribosomal RNA (472 nucleotides) under uncultured bacterium. RNAcentral's name for it is "bacterial SSU rRNA". It matches the Rfam family "Bacterial small subunit ribosomal RNA", at positions 355 to 825 of the family's 1533-position model. The record is from RNAcentral.
UGGGGAAUUUUGGACAAUGGGCGCAAGCCUGAUCCAGCAAUGCCGCGUGCAGGAUGAAGGCCUUCGGGUUGUAAACUGCUUUUGUACGGAGCGAAACGGCUCUACCUAAUACGUAGGGCUAAUGACGGUACCGUAAGAAUAAGCACCGGCUAACUACGUGCCAGCAGCCGCGGUAAUACGUAGGGUGCGAGCGUUAAUCGGAAUUACUGGGCGUAAAGCGUGCGCAGGCGGUCUUGUAAGACAGAUGUGAAAUCCCCGGGCUCAACCUGGGACCUGCAUUUGUGACUGCAAGGCUGGAGUGCGGCAGAGGGGGAUGGAAUUCCGCGUGUAGCAGUGAAAUGCGUAGAUAUGCGGAGGAACACCGAUGGCGAAGGCAAUCCCCUGGGCCUGCACUGACGCUCAUGCACGAAAGCGUGGGGAGCAAACAGGAUUAGAUACCCCCGUAGUCCCUGAGCGGGCUGGCAAGGCGCAU